RNAcentral lists this ribosomal RNA (464 nucleotides) under uncultured bacterium. Its description in RNAcentral is "partial 16S ribosomal RNA". It matches the Rfam family "Bacterial small subunit ribosomal RNA", at positions 28 to 506 of the family's 1533-position model. The record is from RNAcentral.
GACGAACGCUGGCGGCGUGCUUAACACAUGCAAGUCGAACGGAAAGGCCCUGCUUGCAGGGUACUCGAGUGGCGAACGGGUGAGUAACACGUGGGUGAUCUGCCCUGCACUUCGGGAUAAGCCUGGGAAACUGGGUCGAAUACCGGAUAGGUGCCAUUUUUAGUGUGAUGGUUGGAAAGUUUUUUCGGUGUAGGAUGAGCCCGCUGCCUAUCAGCUUGCUGGUGGGGUAAUGGCCUACCAUGGCGGCGACGGGUAGCCGGCCUGAGAGGGGGGACGGCCACAUUGGGACUAAGGGACGGACCAGACGCCAACGGGAGGCAAAAGUGGGGAAUAUUACACAAUAAGCGCGAGCCUGAUGCAGCGACGCCGCGUGGGGGAUGACGGCCUUCGGGUUGUAAACUCCUUUCGCUAGAGACGAGGCUUUUUGUGACGGUACCAAGAUAAGAAGCACCGGCUAACUACGU